This 506-nucleotide ribosomal RNA is filed under the name Scarabaeidae sp. BAH_28362_H06. RNAcentral describes it as "partial 16S ribosomal RNA". It matches the Rfam family "Bacterial large subunit ribosomal RNA", at positions 1850 to 2613 of the family's 2925-position model. The record is from RNAcentral. Lineage: Eukaryota; Metazoa; Arthropoda; Insecta; Coleoptera; Scarabaeidae.
AAGUCUGACCUGCCCAAUGAGGAGUUGAAUGGCCGCGGUAAUUUGACCGUGCAAAGGUAGCAUAAUCAUUAGUUUUUUAAUUGAAAGCUGGAAUGAACGGUUGGACGAGAAAAUAACUGUCUCAAUUUAAAUUUUAUUAGAACUUUAUUUUUAAGUAAAAAAGCUUAAAUGUUUUUAAAAGACGAGAAGACCCUAUAGAGUUUUAUAUAUAAUUGUAUAUGAGAGUAUUAGUAUGUAUUUAUGAGUAUAUAUUUAUAUAUUUUAUUGGGGUGAUAGGAAAAUUGAAUUAACUUUUUUUAAAACUUAAACAUAAAUGAAUGAGUUUUUGAUCCGUUGUUUACGAUUAUAAGAUUAAAUUACCUUAGGGAUAACAGCGUAAUUUUUUUUGAGAGUUCUAAUCGAAAAAAGAGUUUGCGACCUCGAUGUUGGAUUAAAAUUAAUUCUUGGUGUAGGUGCUAAGAUAUUAGGUCUGUUCGACCUUUGAAAUUUUACGUGAUCUGAGUUCA